AAAUUAUCAAUUUAGCAAAAAACUGCAAUAAAUUUAGAAUUUAUUAUUUUCCCU
RNAcentral lists this transfer RNA (54 nucleotides) under Loxosceles deserta. RNAcentral's name for it is "tRNA-Leu". Lineage: Eukaryota; Metazoa; Arthropoda; Arachnida; Araneae; Sicariidae. The record is from RNAcentral.